RNAcentral lists this unclassified non-coding RNA (137 nucleotides) under soil metagenome. RNAcentral describes it as "partial internal transcribed spacer 1". The record is from RNAcentral.
AAGAGUUGCAAAACUCCCACAAACCAUCGCGAACGUUACCCAGACGUCGUUGCUUCGGCGGGCUCGCCCGCCGGGGGGACGCUACCAGACUCUUGCAGCUAUUCGGCCUCUCUGAGUAUGAUUUUUUAAAUAAGUCA